UAUUUUAUUUUAUUUAUUAGUACAUUAUUUUUUUAUAAUCAUACUAACUUUAAUAAAUAGUUCUAACACUUAAGAAAUCGCUUUAAGUAUAUCAGGUAAAAAUACUGAAUUUGUACAUUCAGGAACACGAUAAGAUAUUGUAAAGACUUAAAUGAAUCAUCAUUAGCUAAAAACGUAAAGUUAUUUCCAGUUUGAUUUUCGACAGAAUCACCAUCCUCAUUUGAGUGUCUUCUUUCUAAAUUAGUCCGUCAAUCGUCUCUUACCAUAUAUCAAACUAGGCCUCGUUCAUCCUUAGAAUAUUUCGGUAGGCUGCAGUUUUCCUUUUUUUAAUUCUUUUAAUAAUGUACUGGAUGCACCUUAUUUUUUUCGCCUUGAAAUCCAACUUCUGAUCCAUAAUCUUUUCUUUUCCAACACCUGUCGCAAUAAAUGAGAAAUCAUAACAACUCCGCGCGAACUACAGCUUCCGACAUUUUGACCAGUCACUACUCGUUGGCACACUAGCGAUUUUGCCAACUAGGGUGAUUACAUUGAGCGAUUUUACUCAAUGAAGUAUAAAAACGCCAGCGACUAGUGUAAAGAAGCCCAGCCAUCAACUUUAUUCGCGGGUGAGCAGCGAGUAUUCAACACACUGUGAGUAAGUGACUAGACCGAUUACAAUGAGUGAAUUUAGUAGCAGCGAGUUAAUUCACCAGCGACUAGCAUGUAAAAUCACUCAGUGUAAUCGAGGCAUAAUCAAGGUAAGUAAAAUAUUGCAUACAAUAGAAACGAUAAGGAUGUGCUUAAACUUUUAGAUUCUGAGUGGAACGAAGAAGCUUAUGGCUUUAUAAAGAUGUUUAUUUUGUUUUGUUUUUUAAUCUGUGUGCUACUUUUCUACCAGAAAUUUCGCUCUGAAUUUUAAGUGUAGUACAUUUUCUGAAAGGAAAUCGGUGUGGGGAGGUACUUUUUUGAAAAGUAAUUUUUUGAUUCUCAAGAGUUUUCUCAUAAAAUGUGAAAAACCAAAAAAAAAAACGGAAAAUAUAAGAAAUUUAGGUAUUAUAUAUAAUAAUAUAUUACGGCUUUUUUUCUUUCCUAUGAACAACUUAACUUCCAUUAAUUUUGCCCAAAUUUAUUAUGAUAACAUUUUUUCUAAAAGUAAAUCUGAUUGGGGAGGUACUUUAGAGAGAUCAUUUUUCGAUUUUUCCCAAGAGUUUACUCAACAAAUGGGAAACUGGGAAAAUCAGUACAACAUUAAAAAAAUAUAUGAAGCCUAUUUAAUUAUUUUACUAUAAUGACAUAUAUAUUGUUGACAAAGCAACACUAUCAAUUGAACUCAGCUCAGAAUUGUUUUUUUUUUUUUUUGUAAGCAAUGGUUUACCGUUGCUUACAGGUACACAUUAUAUUAACUAUAACAGUGGUUGCACCAGUUCCCAUUAAUAUAGGACGUCAUUUUAUUAUUCUAGUAAUUUAAAAAAAAUUAAUUUAUGAAAUAAUUGAUGUUCAUAAUUUCCUGAUAAUACUUGAUAAUACCUGAUAAUUCUUCUCUCUGUAUAAAUUAUGCAUACCAUAUAGUAUUGUGGUAAGUUAAAUUAACAGUAUUGUCAAAAAUUGUACUGCAUUGAGCACAUGAUUUUAUUUUCUUGCCGUAAACGGAAUGUAACUGGUAUUUUAAAGUUAUGGUGACUUGCUUGCACUUUAUUCUAAAAAAGUCAUGAAAUUAUUUACAGAAUUAUAAAUAAAAGUUGGAAUGAUUAUAUAAGUACAUUUUUACAUACCCUAUAUAUUGUUUCAGCUUGGAGUCUCUGUUGUGGUAUUGUACCUAAUUCAAUUUUAUUAAAAACCAAUAUUGAUAUAAAAUAUGUAUUGUUUGUAAUUUUGGAUCAUCUAUCAACCAUCCAAUAUUGAGUUGUUUAAAUGUGAAUAACAUACAUACACCCCAAACAAAAUCAUUAAAGGUAAUGUUCUAUUU
This 1945-nucleotide long non-coding RNA is filed under the name Cinara cedri. The record is from RNAcentral. Lineage: Eukaryota; Metazoa; Arthropoda; Insecta; Hemiptera; Aphididae.